This 1094-nucleotide long non-coding RNA is filed under the name Marmota monax (woodchuck). Lineage: Eukaryota; Metazoa; Chordata; Mammalia; Rodentia; Sciuridae. The record is from RNAcentral.
GCGCACACCUGUAAUCCCAGCAGCUCAGAAGGCUGAGAUAGGAGAAUCACAAAUUCAAAGCCAGCCUCAGCAACUGCAAGGUACUAAGCAACUCACUGAGACCCUGUCUCUAAAAUAAAAUACAAAAUAGGACUGGGGAUGUGGCUCAAUGGUCAAGUGCCCCUAAGUUCAAUCCCCAGUACCAAAAAAAAAAAGGCAACCAUUGUUAUUAAUUUCUUGUAAUCAUUACAGAGGUACCAGAGAUUUUCUAUGCUUGGAGAAUACACACACACACACACACACAAACGAUAACAUUAAGCACACCAUUUUUACUUCACUUUUUGUGCGUAGUAUAUUUGGGGAUUCAUCCUAUAAAAUUGCAUUAUUUUAACAUCUGCAUAGUAUCUGUGUUAAUGAUUUAUUUCUAAGUAACAGUGACUAGAAACAAUACAUUUAUUAUCUCACAAUUUCUGUAGGUCACAAGUCCAGGCACAGCUUAUCUGGGUCUUCUACUUCAGGAUCUCUCAAAAAGUUGCAAUUAAGGUGCCACCUGGAGCUGUGGCAGCUUACCUGAAGGUUUGACUACAGAAGAUUCUGCUUCUACACUCACAUGGCUAUUGACAGAAUUCAGUUCUUUAGGGUUGAGGACUGAGAGCCUCAAGUUUCUUUGUGCCUGUUGGGUGGAUACCACCUUCAAUUCCUGGCCUUGAGGUCCUCUCCGUAGAGUCAUCACUAUUUAGGUGCUAGCUUCAUCAAAGUCAGUAAGAGAGACAUCGAGAUAGAUGUUGUAAAUUUACAUAAUGGAAUCAUGGAAGUGAUAUCACCUUUGCCACAUUCUGUAUGUUAGAAGGAAAUCACACAUUCCACCCAUACUGACAUGAAUAACAGGAGGCAGAAGUAAUUGGAGAUCAUUUUAGAGUUUGUCUUCUAUAAAAUCCAGUAUAUAGAUGUUCCCUAAUUUGUCCAGAUUCCUCUUUUUUAUCUUUUUUAUGUAUACAUUUAUUUUUAGUUGUUGAUGGAUUUCUUUUUUUAAAUGCAGUGCUUAGGGGCUGGGAUAUAGCUUAGUUGGUGGAGUGCUCACUUUGCAUGCACAAGGUCCCUGCGUUCAAUCCCCA